Molecule: non-coding RNA, 2919 nt
Organism: Epinephelus lanceolatus (giant grouper)
Lineage: Eukaryota; Metazoa; Chordata; Actinopteri; Perciformes; Serranidae
Source: RefSeq, a predicted model, not a curated record
UCAUUUUUUAUUUUAUUUUAGGCAAAAUCUUGCAACUUUGUCUUCCUGCCUAACUGUUAAUUCUAGUUUAGUCUCAGUUUCUGUCAUAUUGGGUGCAGUUACAGAAUCCCAUAGAUUUGGUCAGUUGUGAUCCUAUUUGCAUAUACAGUACUUUAGAAAGUCCUUAUUCACAAAACUUUCACAGUAAAUUACUGUUUUUUUGCAGUAAAUUAUUGUGAAAUGACAUCAAUAUACAGUGAUCUCACAGUAGUUAUACAUACGACUGCGAUAAAGCAGUAAAAUUACUGUAUUUAACUGUAACCUCACAGUUAAAACCCAUUACAUUACUGAUAUAACAGUACAUUCUUGUAAAUUACUGUAUUUAACCGUAACUUCACAGUUUAUGUACAUUUGAUUACUGUGAUUUAGCAACAUGCUAGCACAGAAUUAUUGUAUUUCACUGUAAUCUCACAGUUAAACUCCAUAUAUUACUGUGAUUAAGCAGUAUGCUUCUGUAAAACUACUAUAUUUACCUGCAUGAAUUUUACAAUACUAUUCUGAAUUUAGUUAAAUAUCACAGUAAAAGCCAUUGAGGUCAUAAUAAUGUAAUUUAUGGUGAAAUAUUACAGUUACAUAUUGUAAAUUCCUGGAAAUAAUUUGCAGUGUAGAAAUACUCACUGAUAAAAGGAGCAUUUGUUCACAAUGGGAGAGAGAUAGGUAGGGUUACUUCAUGUCAACAUAAAAUUUGACAGGUAAGGUACCUUACAGUUACAUAUUGUAAAUUCCUGGAAAUAAGGUACCUUUCCCCGUUUUUUCACUACCCCUCCUACCGUUUACGUUUGAACCAAUGAGCUAUGGUUGAAGUCUUUCAAGAGACAAAUAAAUAUUGCAGCUUUGCAGUGUUGGAGUAUACAGAACUUGUGAAAAAGGAAUUGAAGAGAACCAAGAGCUAGAAGAAAAGAAAAGUGGAUUAUAAGUCAGUAAAACUAAUUUUAGUAGACAUGUUGUUGGACCUGUCGAAACAGCAGUAUAGCAGGUUUUUGCACAGUCUUCUCGACCGUACGAAUGAUGAUACGAUGUCUGAUAAAGAAAAUGAGGAUUUUGAUGUGACGACGUCUGAUAAAGAGAAUGAGGAUGAUGAAGUGACAUCGUUCGAGACAGGGUAUUGUUCGGAGGUAAAGGAGGAAGAGGAGGAGGAUAGCAGAGAGAGUCCUCCUCUGGAAAAGCGUCCGAGGAGGGGAAUUCAGUUUGACGACAAUGAGUUGUCUAAGACGAGAACCAUCUUGGCUGCAUUGUGGCAAUCCAAAACCACAGUCACAGGCAAAUGGAUGACUCAAGCCAGUGUGUGAUCACAAAAUAUGGAAGGGAAGAGAUCCGCCGACAUUUUCGUUUUGGAGAGAUUUAAUCCUGACUGUGGGUUAUUCCGAACCGUCUUAGUCAUACCUGCGACAGAAUGGCUCAACAGGAUGCUGAAGGGAGAGGAUUUCAAAUUUUUUCUUGAGCUGCCGCAACUGGAGAGAAUCUGUGGUGGUGAAAAAAACUCUAAACUUUUGACUAGAAAAAGAAAACUUCCCACGCCUUCCACAUCCAAACCACACCUUCCGUUUCCAAACCAAAACUUCCGUUUCCAUGCCACACCUCCCGUCUGGUAUUAUAAAGUCCUCUGUCUUGACCAAAGCAGUUGUAGAGAUGGACAACGCAGGACAGAAGAAGUACUUCCCUUGUCCUUGUGCGCUCUUCCGUAGUGCUUCUUUUUCCGACUUCACCUACCUCGGUUCAAUGGAAUCUACAUUACACACUCCGUAUGAGGAGCGGCUGACUUCUGACGAGGCCGGGAAGGACAAGCUGACUUAUGACAUGGUUGGAAAGAAAGAGCAGACUUCUGCCAUGGUUGGGGAGGACGAGCAGACUUCUGACAUGGUUGGGGAGGACGAGCAGACUUCUGACAUGGUUGGAGACAGGGCCGUCACAACCAGACAGGCAAACUAGGCAAUUGCCUAGGGCCCCGAGCUGGAAGGGGCAACACAGAGAUGGCUGACAUCGGUCCAUAUCAAUGACAAUAUGAAUGGAACCCCUAUAGACACUGCAGCAACGACAACACGUCGGUACCCCCCCUAAUGGGCCCCCCCCCCCUACUUGCUGCUGCUUGCGAGUGGCUAGAGGGGGCCUCCAGGGGCUGCUGACAUUUGGUCUGUAAUCAACGACACAACUUGAAACCCCCUUAGAGACACUGCAACGACGACACGUCGGAGACCUCCCUAAUGGGGCCCCUACAGCUGACUGAGCUGACUUACUGCUGCCGCUGCCGGUGCCGCUGCCGGUGCCGUGCGGGCUGUGGCAAAAUGAAGCGAACGUAUCCCUCAGGGCACGCUAAAAGAAAAAAAAAGCAAGAGGAGGAUGAAAAGAAAAAACGAGACAGUGUGAACACAACACCCCUGCAGACUAGGGUCGUGUACCCCGGAAGAUAGCGACACUUUGGCUGCGCUGUCUCCCUGUGUGAGAGCAUGUGUACGAAUGAAGCCAAGACCGACUGUGAAAAUAUUUCCUCUGCCAGAUGCGGAAAUAAACGGCGGGUGCCAACAGUGCUUCAUGACUGAUUUUUCUCGUGAUUAUACACAACACAAGAAAGAGAGAGUACACAACCGCUACAUAAUCACUCCAGUGUCAGGUGCUUUGUUGAAAUAUUUUGGUCCACAGCAACAGCAUACCUCUACAGUUGCCUCAACAGAUGAAGGACAGAGGGUGAAAUGAGGAGACAGAGAGAGAGAAUGGGGACUGACAUGCAGCAAAGGGCCGCGAGCCGGAUUCGAACCCUUAGCCGCUGCGGCGAGGCAAUGCCUCUAUACAUGGGGCGCCAGCACUAUCCACUACGCUACCGACGCCCCAGAAUGCGUGCUAUCCCGCAGGGGAGAAGCGCACUUGGCAGCAGCUUAGGAUGAA